Molecule: ribosomal RNA, 465 nt
Filed under: Vreelandella stevensii
Lineage: Bacteria; Pseudomonadati; Pseudomonadota; Gammaproteobacteria; Oceanospirillales; Halomonadaceae
Description: partial 16S ribosomal RNA
Rfam family: Bacterial small subunit ribosomal RNA
Source: RNAcentral
CCUACGGGUGGCAGCAGUGGGGAAUAUUGGACAAUGGGGGGAACCCUGAUCCAGCCAUGCCGCGUGUGUGAAGAAGGCCCUCGGGUUGUAAAGCACUUUCAGUGAGGAAGAACGCCUGGUGGUUAAUACCCAUCAGGAAAGACAUCACUCACAGAAGAAGCACCGGCUAACUCCGUGCCAGCAGCCGCGGUAAUACGGAGGGUGCGAGCGUUAAUCGGAAUUACUGGGCGUAAAGCGCGCGUAGGUGGCUUGAUAAGCCGGUUGUGAAAGCCCCGGGCUCAACCUGGGAACGGCAUCCGGAACUGUCAAGCUAGAGUGCAGGAGAGGAAGGUAGAAUUCCCGGUGUAGCGGUGAAAUGCGUAGAGAUCGGGAGGAAUACCAGUGGUGAAGGCGGCCUUCUGGACUGACACUGACACUGAGGUGCGAAAGCGUGGGUAGCAAACAGGAUUAGAUACCCGAGUAGUC